This 473-nucleotide small RNA is filed under the name Histoplasma ohiense. RNAcentral's name for it is "hypothetical lncRNA". The record is from RNAcentral. Lineage: Eukaryota; Fungi; Ascomycota; Eurotiomycetes; Onygenales; Ajellomycetaceae.
GAUGACGACGACGACGACGACGACGUGGAGAUGUCCGGCAUGUAGGUCGUAGUAGCAGGCAAAUUAAAAUUAAUUACAAAUUAAUUAACCCUUUCUUACGCCUGAAAUCCGGACAAAGUCAGAUAGAUAGAUCCAUCCCUUUCCCUUUCCCUUUUUUUUUUUUUUUUUUUUGCCCUUUCCCUUUUUUUCCCCCGUGUGGAAAUAAAUAUACAUACCUACCUACCUACCUACAUCCACUCUACCACGCCUUACACUGCUUCCAUCACUAGUACUAGUACUACUACCCCCCUCACCACGCAAAGUUAAAAAGCUAUACAUAUGUAUAUAUAUAUAUAUAUAUCCCCCCGAUAUCCGUACAGAACACGUAAAUCAACCAAGGAAGGAAGAGAGAAAGGAAAGCAAGGAGAAAAGCGGAGUGUUGAAAAUAGUAUAUAUAUAUAUAUACCACAUACAGUACAACCAAUAAUAAAACA